Molecule: ribosomal RNA, 655 nt
Filed under: Enoploderes bicolor
Lineage: Eukaryota; Metazoa; Arthropoda; Insecta; Coleoptera; Cerambycidae
Description: eukaryotic LSU rRNA
Rfam family: Eukaryotic large subunit ribosomal RNA
Source: RNAcentral
UGCGAGCGAACAGGGAAGAGCCCAGCACCGAAUCCCGCGGCCGAUAUCGGGCGCCGGGAAAUGUGGUGUUAGGGAGGAUCCGUUUAUCUCGAGGUCGUGCGGUGCGUCCAAGUCCUUCUUGAACGGGGCCACAGCCCAUAGAGGGUGCCAGGCCCGUAGCGACCGCUGCCGAUCGCGGGAGGAUCUCUCCUCAGAGUCGGGUUGCUUGAGAGUGCAGCCCUAAGUGGGUGGUAAACUCCAUCUAAGGCUAAAUAUGACCACGAGACCGAUAGCGAACAAGUACCGUGAGGGAAAGUUGAAAAGCACUUUGAAGAGAGAGUUCAAGAGUACGUGAAACCGUUCAGGGGUAAACCUGAGAAACCCGAAAGGUCGAAAGGGGAAAUUCAUUCGCGUUUCGGCCGUCGGCGUUGGAUGGUCGAGUGACGGACGGCGUACGCGUCGUCCGCGCCUUCCUUUCAUCGAACCGGCGCCGAACGCGUGCACUUUUCCCCUAGUAGGACGUCGCGAUCCGUUGGGUGUCGGUCUAUGGCCCGCGGUGGAGCCCGUGCGGAUAACGUUUCAACGACGUGUCCGCUCGGACCCGCGGUGUCCCGGCCGACUCGCUCGACGGUAUACAGAUGGCGCGGGGCCGCUACUAAUUCAGUUAGCGUUCGAC